CAAUAACAUGUUUGAAUGACCACACCCACAAAAAACAGUGAUCCUACCCCUAAAGUUUAACACAUCCAUCAUCCAUCAUCCAUCUAUUUACCAUCCAUCCAUCAUCCAUCAUCCAUCCAUCAUCCAUCCAUCAUCCAUCAUCUAUCAUCCAUCAUCCAUCCAUCAUCCAUUUAUCAUCCAUCAUCCAUCCAUCAUCCAUCCAUCAUCCAUCAUCUAUCACCCAUCAUCCAUCCAUCAUCCAUCCAUCAUCCAUCAUCUAUCAUCCAUCCAUCAUCCAUUUAUCAUCCAUCAUCCAUCCAUCAUCCAUCAUCCAUCCAUCAUCCAUCAUCCAUCCAUCAUCUAUCAUCCAUCAUCUAUUCAUCAUCCAUCAUCUAUCAUCCAUCCAUCAUCUAUUCUCCAUCAUCCAUUCAUCAUCCAUCAUUCCUUCAUCCAUCAUCCAUCAUCCAUAUCCGUCCAUCCAUCAUCCAUCAUCAUCCAUCCAUCCAUCCAUCACCAUCAUCCAUCAUCCAUCAUCUAUCAUCCAUCAUCCAUUUAUCAUCCAUCAUCCAUCAUCCAUCAUCCAUCCAUCAUCUAUCAUCCAUCAUCCAUUCAUCAUCCAUCCAUCAUCCAUCAUCCAUUUAACAUCCAUCAUCCAUCCAUCAUCUAUCAUCCAUCAUCCAUUCAUCAUCCAUCCAUCAUCCAUCAUCCAUCCAUCCAUCAUCCAUCCAUCGUCCAUCCAUCCUUCAUCCAUCCAUCAUCCAUCAUCCAUCAUCCAUCAUCCAUUUAUCAUCCAUCAUCCAUCCAUCAUCCAUCCAUCAUCCAUCAUCCAUCCAUCAUCCAUCAUCCAUCCAUCCAUCCAUCCAUCCUUCAUCCAUCCAUCCAUCCAUCCUUCAUCCAUCCAUCAUCCAUCAUCCAUCCAUCCAUCCAUCCAUCAUCCAUCUAUCAUCUAUCCAUCCAUCCAUCAUCCAUCCAUUCAUCAUCCAUCCAUCCAUCAUCUAUCAUCUAUCAUCCAUCAUCCAUCCAUCCAUUUAUCAUCCAUCAUCCAUCAUCCAUGCAUCAUCCAUCAUCCAUCCAUCAUCCAUCAUCCAUCAUCCAUCCAUCGUCCAUCCAUCAUCCAUCAUCCAUCCAUCAUCCAUCCAUCAUCCAUCAUCAUCCAUCAUCCAUCAUCCAUCCAUCAUCCAUCAUCCAUCCAUCAUCCAUUCAUCAUCCAUCCAUCCAUCAUCCAUCAUCCAUCCAUCAUCCAUCCAUCAUCCAUCCAUCAUCC
This 1243-nucleotide long non-coding RNA is filed under the name Oryzias javanicus (javanese ricefish). RNAcentral describes it as "lncRNA (ENSOJAG00000017181.1)". The record is from RNAcentral. Lineage: Eukaryota; Metazoa; Chordata; Actinopteri; Beloniformes; Adrianichthyidae.